This 2923-nucleotide ribosomal RNA is filed under the name Klebsiella quasipneumoniae. Its description in RNAcentral is "23S ribosomal RNA". It matches the Rfam family "Bacterial large subunit ribosomal RNA". Lineage: Bacteria; Pseudomonadati; Pseudomonadota; Gammaproteobacteria; Enterobacterales; Enterobacteriaceae. The record is from RNAcentral.
GGGUUGUGAGGUUAAGCGACUAAGCGUACACGGUGGAUGCCCUGGCAGUCAGAGGCGAUGAAGGACGUGCUAAUCUGCGAAAAGCGUCGGUAAGGUGAUAUGAACCGUUACAGCCGGCGAUGUCCGAAUGGGGAAACCCAGUGUGAUUCGUCACACUAUCGUUAACUGAAUACAUAGGUUAACGAGGCGAACCGGGGGAACUGAAACAUCUAAGUACCCCGAGGAAAAGAAAUCAACCGAGAUUCCCCCAGUAGCGGCGAGCGAACGGGGAGCAGCCCAGAGUCUGAAUCAGCUUGUGUGUUAGUGGAACGGUCUGGAAAGUCCGACGGUACAGGGUGAUAGUCCCGUACACCAAAAUGCACAGGUUGUGAACUCGAAGAGUAGGGCGGGACACGUGGUAUCCUGUCUGAAUAUGGGGGGACCAUCCUCCAAGGCUAAAUACUCCUGACUGACCGAUAGUGAACCAGUACCGUGAGGGAAAGGCGAAAAGAACCCCGGCGAGGGGAGUGAAAAAGAACCUGAAACCGUGUACGUACAAGCAGUGGGAGCACCUUAGGGUGUGACUGCGUACCUUUUGUAUAAUGGGUCAGCGACUUAUAUUCUGUAGCAAGGUUAACCGUAUAGGGGAGCCGCAGGGAAACCGAGUCUUAACUGGGCGUUAAGUUGCAGGGUAUAGACCCGAAACCCGGUGAUCUAGCCAUGGGCAGGUUGAAGGUUGGGUAACACUAACUGGAGGACCGAACCGACUAAUGUUGAAAAAUUAGCGGAUGACUUGUGGCUGGGGGUGAAAGGCCAAUCAAACCGGGAGAUAGCUGGUUCUCCCCGAAAGCUAUUUAGGUAGCGCCUCGUGAACUCAUCUUCGGGGGUAGAGCACUGUUUCGGCUAGGGGGUCAUCCCGACUUACCAACCCGAUGCAAACUACGAAUACCGAAGAAUGUUAUCACGGGAGACACACGGCGGGUGCUAACGUCCGUCGUGAAGAGGGAAACAACCCAGACCGCCAGCUAAGGUCCCAAAGUCAUGGUUAAGUGGGAAACGAUGUGGGAAGGCACAGACAGCCAGGAUGUUGGCUUAGAAGCAGCCAUCAUUUAAAGAAAGCGUAAUAGCUCACUGGUCGAGUCGGCCUGCGCGGAAGAUGUAACGGGGCUAAACCAUGCACCGAAGCUGCGGCAGCGACACUAUGUGUUGUUGGGUAGGGGAGCGUUCUGUAAGCCUGCGAAGGUGACCUGUGAGGGUUGCUGGAGGUAUCAGAAGUGCGAAUGCUGACAUAAGUAACGAUAAAGCGGGUGAAAAGCCCGCUCGCCGGAAGACCAAGGGUUCCUGUCCAACGUUAAUCGGGGCAGGGUGAGUCGACCCCUAAGGCGAGGCCGAAAGGCGUAGUCGAUGGGAAACAGGUUAAUAUUCCUGUACUUGGUGUUACUGCGAAGGGGGGACGGAGAAGGCUAUGUUAGCCGGGCGACGGUUGUCCCGGUUUAAGCAUGUAGGCUGGUUAUCCAGGCAAAUCCGGAUAAUCAAGGCUGAGGUGUGAUGACGAGGCACUACGGUGCUGAAGUAACAAAUGCCCUGCUUCCAGGAAAAGCCUCUAAGCAUCAGGUAACAUCAAAUCGUACCCCAAACCGACACAGGUGGUCAGGUAGAGAAUACCAAGGCGCUUGAGAGAACUCGGGUGAAGGAACUAGGCAAAAUGGUGCCGUAACUUCGGGAGAAGGCACGCUGGUGUGUAGGUGAAGCCCCUGCGGGUGGAGCUGAGACCAGUCGAAGAUACCAGCUGGCUGCAACUGUUUAUUAAAAACACAGCACUGUGCAAACACGAAAGUGGACGUAUACGGUGUGACGCCUGCCCGGUGCCGGAAGGUUAAUUGAUGGGGUUAUCCGUAAGGAGAAGCUCUUGAUCGAAGCCCCGGUAAACGGCGGCCGUAACUAUAACGGUCCUAAGGUAGCGAAAUUCCUUGUCGGGUAAGUUCCGACCUGCACGAAUGGCGUAAUGAUGGCCAGGCUGUCUCCACCCGAGACUCAGUGAAAUUGAACUCGCUGUGAAGAUGCAGUGUACCCGCGGCAAGACGGAAAGACCCCGUGAACCUUUACUAUAGCUUGACACUGAACAUUGAGCCUUGAUGUGUAGGAUAGGUGGGAGGCUUUGAAGCGUGGACGCCAGUCUGCGUGGAGCCAACCUUGAAAUACCACCCUUUAAUGUUUGAUGUUCUAACGUUGGCCCCUAAUCGGGGUUGCGGACAGUGUCUGGUGGGUAGUUUGACUGGGGCGGUCUCCUCCCAAAGCGUAACGGAGGAGCACGAAGGUUAGCUAAUCCUGGUCGGACAUCAGGAGGUUAGUGCAAUGGCAUAAGCUAGCUUGACUGCGAGCGUGACGGCGCGAGCAGGUGCGAAAGCAGGUCAUAGUGAUCCGGUGGUUCUGAAUGGAAGGGCCAUCGCUCAACGGAUAAAAGGUACUCCGGGGAUAACAGGCUGAUACCGCCCAAGAGUUCAUAUCGACGGCGGUGUUUGGCACCUCGAUGUCGGCUCAUCACAUCCUGGGGCUGAAGUAGGUCCCAAGGGUAUGGCUGUUCGCCAUUUAAAGUGGUACGCGAGCUGGGUUUAGAACGUCGUGAGACAGUUCGGUCCCUAUCUGCCGUGGGCGCUGGAGAAUUGAGGGGGGCUGCUCCUAGUACGAGAGGACCGGAGUGGACGCAUCACUGGUGUUCGGGUUGUCAUGCCAAUGGCACUGCCCGGUAGCUAAAUGCGGAAGAGAUAAGUGCUGAAAGCAUCUAAGCACGAAACUUGCCCCGAGAUGAGUUCUCCCUGAGACUUUAAGUCUCCUGAAGGAACGUUGAAGACGACGACGUUGAUAGGCCGGGUGUGUAAGCGCAGCGAUGCGUUGAGCUAACCGGUACUAAUGAACCGUGAGGCUUAACCUUACAACGCCGAAG